Sus scrofa (pig) is the source of this 545-nucleotide non-coding RNA. The record is from the annotation of a RefSeq genome assembly. NCBI's taxonomy places the organism in Eukaryota, Metazoa, Chordata, Mammalia, Artiodactyla, Suidae.
AGCAGCACAUAGUCCAGCAAAUGUUCCUUCACUUUUUCAGGGUUGCCUCACUUUGCAGAGCCUUGAAAUUGAUGAAGAAGGUAUUUCCCUUCUAGUGGAAGACAUCAAAUAUGCGUCUCACCAGCCUUCUGAAGGUGAUCGUGGCUUCAUUGUGGCUAGGAUCCAGUAUUGCCCAGAAGGUAACUCAAGCCCAACCACCAAAGUUCACACAGGAGAAGGAGACUGUGAACCUGGACUGUACAUACGACACCAGUGAUCCAACAUAUAGCCUAUUCUGGUACAAGCAGCCCAGCAGUGGGGUGAUGAUUCUCCUUAUUCGUCAGGACACUUAUAGCCAAGAAAAUGCCACAGAAGGUCGCUACUCACUGAAUUUCCAGAAGGCAAACAAAUCCAUCCAACUUGUCAUCUCAGAUGCACAGGUGGAGGACUCUGCAGUCUACUUCUGUGCACUGAGUGAGCCCACAGUGAGAGGUGUGUUGGAGGGAGGUGUACCAAAACCCGCAGUUCUCCUUGAUACAUCCACCUGCUGUUGGGUCCAGGGCUGA